CCCCUAUCAGAAAAUUUUCAUGUAGAUGCCAGGUGCUGUUUGAGAAAAUGUCAUGUGUUGAAGCAAAAAAUAACAGGCCACGACUACUCCAACACUACUUUCGUGUUUUAUUUCUGCUGCCUAACAAAUUUUCCUCGUCGUGCUCUUGUUUUAGAUUUUCUUGCUGUGACAAUACCCUUCUUCUUCAUUCUCUCCAGUUUUUCUUUCCUUCCUUGUAUAUCAGCCUUGAUAACCUCAUCCCUACAUUCUUCUGACAACAGAGCUAACCUGGAAAACUUUUUUGGCCAUACUUCCCCAAGUCUCUCAUGUAUAUCUUUAAAUGCUGAUACAAAAC
Molecule: unclassified non-coding RNA, 334 nt
Filed under: Zea mays
Lineage: Eukaryota; Viridiplantae; Streptophyta; Magnoliopsida; Poales; Poaceae
Description: misc RNA Zm00001eb373890
Source: RNAcentral